CUCACAAGAUCAAUCACUUGGUAAUUGCUGUGAUAACAACUCAGCAAUUACCAAGUGAUUGGUUUUGUGAG
This is a microRNA precursor of Gorilla gorilla gorilla (western lowland gorilla), 71 nucleotides long. Lineage: Eukaryota; Metazoa; Chordata; Mammalia; Primates; Hominidae. The record is from Ensembl.